GAUGAACGCUAGCGGGAGGCCUAACACAUGCAAGCCGAGCGGUAUUGUUUCUUCGGAAGUGAGAGAGCGGCGUACGGGUGCGUAACACGUGUGCAACCUGCCUUUAUCUGGGGGAUAGCCUUUCGAAAGGAAGAUUAAUACUCCAUAAUAUAUUGAACGGCAUCGUUUAAUAUUGAAAGCUCCGGCGGAUAGAGAUGGGCGCGCGCAAGAUUAGCUAGUUGGUGAGGUAACGGCUCACCAAGGCGAUGAUCUUUAGGGGGGCUGAGAGGGUGAUCCACCACAAUGGUACUGAGACACGGACCAGACUCCUACGGGAGGCAGCAGUGAGGAAUAUUGGUCAAUGGGUGCAAGCCUGAACCAGCCAUCCCGCGUGAAGGACGACUGCCCUAGGGGUUGUAAACUUCUUUUGUAUAGGGAUAAACCUACCCUCGAGAGGGUAGCUGAAGGUACUAUACGAAUAAGCACCGGCUAACUCCGUG
Molecule: ribosomal RNA, 479 nt
Filed under: uncultured bacterium
Lineage: Bacteria
Description: partial 16S ribosomal RNA
Rfam family: Bacterial small subunit ribosomal RNA
Source: RNAcentral